RNAcentral lists this ribosomal RNA (843 nucleotides) under Bacillus sp. DQ16(2010). Its description in RNAcentral is "bacterial SSU rRNA". It matches the Rfam family "Bacterial small subunit ribosomal RNA", at positions 26 to 850 of the family's 1533-position model. Lineage: Bacteria; Bacillati; Bacillota; Bacilli; Caryophanales; Bacillaceae. The record is from RNAcentral.
UGGGUAGACCCCUGGGCGGCGUUGCCUCUAGAUGCAAGUCGAGCGAACAGAAGGGAGCUUGCUCCCGGAUGUUAGCGGCGGACGGGUGAGUAACACGUGGGUAACCUGCCUGUAAGACUGGGAUAACUCCGGGAAACCGGAGCUAAUACCGGAUAGUUCCUUGAACCGCAUGGUUCAAGGAUGAAAGACGGUUUCGGCUGUCACUUACAGAUGGACCCGCGGCGCAUUAGCUAGUUGGUGGGGUAAUGGCUCACCAAGGCGACGAUGCGUAGCCGACCUGAGAGGGUGAUCGGCCACACUGGGACUGAGACACGGCCCAAACUCCUACGGGAGGCAGCAGUAGGGAAUCUUCCGCAAUGGACGAAAGUCUGACGGAGCAACGCCGCGUGAGUGAUGAAGGUUUUCGGAUCGUAAAGCUCUGUUGUUAGGGAAGAACAAGUGCGAGAGUAACUGCUCGCACCUUGACGGUACCUAACCAGAAAGCCACGGCUAACUACGUGCCAGCAGCCGCGGUAAUACGUAGGUGGCAAGCGUUGUCCGGAAUUAUUGGGCGUAAAGGGCUCGCAGGCGGUUUCUUAAGUCUGAUGUGAAAGCCCCCGGCUCAACCGGGGAGGGUCAUUGGAAACUGGGAAACUUGAGUGCAGAAGAGGAGAGUGGAAUUCCACGUGUAGCGGUGAAAUGCGUAGAGAUGUGUAGGAACACCAGUGGCGAAUGCGACUCUCUGGUCUGUAACUGACGCUGAGGAGCGAAUCGUGGGGAGCGAACAGGAUUAUAUCCCCCGGUAGUCCACGCCGUAAACAAUGAGUGCUAAGUGUUAGGGGGUUCUCGCCUCUAUAUGCUGCC